Choloepus didactylus (southern two-toed sloth) is the source of this 246-nucleotide long non-coding RNA. RefSeq lists it as uncharacterized. The transcript has 3 exons. The record is from RefSeq and is a predicted model, not a curated record. Lineage: Eukaryota; Metazoa; Chordata; Mammalia; Pilosa; Megalonychidae.
CACCCCUGAACUGCAGCCCCUGUGAUCCUCUCCUGGUGAGCCACGGUCUUCUGGAUUUCCCACAUGAUUGCACGUUUCACCCCAAGGUAGAAGAGAACAUGGAGAUGAUUUGCCUUGACAUCUUUACUUUACAGAUGAGGAAGCUGAGGGACUAAAGAGGGGCCCUGGAUAUUUGACCUGCCCUCCCCUGCUAUCUCCAAGGACUUCGCCCUCUACAAGGCCAAAGGAGCUGAGCAGAGCCAGGGU